GAUGAACGCUGGCGGCGUGCUUAACACAUGCAAGUCGAACGGAAAGGCUAGUGCUUGCACUGGUACUCGAGUGGCGAACGGGUGAGUAACACGUGGGUGAUCUGCCCUGCACUUCGGGAUAAGCCUGGGAAACUGGGUCUAAUACCGGAUAGGACCAUCGUUUAGUGUCGGUGGUGGAAAGUUUUUCGGUGUGGGAUGAGCUCGCGGCCUAUCAGCUUGUUGGAGGGGUAAUGGCCUACCAAGGCGUCGACGGGUAGCCGGCCUGAGAGGGUGUACGGCCACAUUGGGACUGAGAUACGGCCCAGACUCCUACGGGAGGCAGCAGUGGGGAAUAUUGCACAAUGGGCGCAAGCCUGAUGCAGCGACGCCGCGUGGGGGAUGACGGCCUUCGGGUUGUAAACUCCUUUCGUCAGGGACGAAGCGAAAGUGACGGUACCUGGAUAAGAAGCACCGGCUAACUACGUG
RNAcentral lists this ribosomal RNA (465 nucleotides) under uncultured bacterium. RNAcentral's name for it is "partial 16S ribosomal RNA". It matches the Rfam family "Bacterial small subunit ribosomal RNA", at positions 28 to 507 of the family's 1533-position model. The record is from RNAcentral.